RNAcentral lists this ribosomal RNA (822 nucleotides) under uncultured Planctomycetaceae bacterium. RNAcentral's name for it is "bacterial SSU rRNA". It matches the Rfam family "Bacterial small subunit ribosomal RNA", at positions 49 to 883 of the family's 1533-position model. Lineage: Bacteria; Pseudomonadati; Planctomycetota; Planctomycetia; Planctomycetales; Planctomycetaceae. The record is from RNAcentral.
UUAGGCAUGCAAGUCGAGCGAGAAGCUACUGAUUGAAACUUCGGUUGAAUUCUUUAGCGGACAGCGGCGCAAGGGAGAGUAACGCGUGGAGACCUACCCCAGGGUCGGGCACAAUUGAGGGAAACCUCUUGUAAUACCCGAUAACGUCCCCGGACCAAAGUUUUUCGCCUUGGGAGGGUUCCGCGUCCUAUUAGCUAGUUGGUGAGGUAAUGGCUCACCAAGGCAAUGAUGGGUAGCGGGUGUGAGAGCAUGACCCGUCUCACUGGGACUGAGACACUGCCCAGACACCUACGGGUGGCUGCAGUCGAGAAUCUUCGGCAAUGGACGAAAGUCUGACCGAGCGACGCCGCGUGCGGGAUGAAGGCCUUCGGGUUGUAAACCGCUGUCAGAGGGGAAGAAAGUUUUACUUGACUGAACCUCAGAGGAAGCACGGGCUAAGUUCGUGCCAGCAGCCGCGGUAACACGAACCGUGCGAACGUUAUUCGGAAUCACUGGGCUUAAAGGGUGCGUAGGCGGCUUAGUAAGUGGGGUGUGAAAUCCCUCGGCUCAACCGAGGAAUUGCGCUCCAAACUACUAAGCUUGAGGGAGAUAGAGGUGAGCGGAACUGAUGGUGGAGCGGUGAAAUGCGUUGAUAUCAUCAGGAACACCAGAGGCGAAGGCGGCUCACUGGAUCUCUUCUGACGCUGAGGCACGAAAGCUGGGGGAGCGAACGGGAUUAGAUACCCCGGUAGUCCCAGCUGUAAACGUUGAGCACUUGAUCGAGGAACCUUCCACAGUUUCUCGGUCGUAGCGAAAGUGUUAAGUGCUCCGCCUGGGGAGUAU